This 434-nucleotide ribosomal RNA is filed under the name uncultured bacterium. Its description in RNAcentral is "partial 16S ribosomal RNA". It matches the Rfam family "Bacterial small subunit ribosomal RNA", at positions 29 to 507 of the family's 1533-position model. The record is from RNAcentral.
AGCGAACGCUGGCGGCAGGCCUAACACAUGCAAGUCGAACGAACCUUUCGGGGUUAGUGGCGGACGGGUGAGUAACACGUGGGAACGUGCCUUUAGGUUCGGAAUAACUCAGGGAAAAUUGUGCUAAUACCGAAUGUGCCCUUCGGGGGAAAGAUUUAUCGCCUUUAGAGCGGCCCGCGUCUGAUUAGCUAGUUGGUUGAGGUAAUGGCUCACCAAGGCGACGAUCAGUAGCUGGUCUGAGAGGAUGAUCAGCCACAUUGGGACUGAGACACGGCCCAAACUCCUACGGGAGGCAGCAGUGGGGAAUCUUGCGCAAUGGGCGAAUGCCUGACGCAGCCAUGCCGCGUGAAUGAUGAAGGUCUUAGGAUUGUAAAAUUCUUUCACCGGGGACGAUAAUGACGGUACCCGGAGAAGAAGCCCCGGCUAACUUCGUG